GACGAACGCUGGCGGCGUGCCUAAUACAUGCAAGUAGAACGCACAGUUUAUACCGUAGCUUGCUACACCAUAGACUGUGAGUUGCGAACGGGUGAGUAACGCGUAGGUAACCUGCCUGGUAGCGGGGGAUAACUAUUGGAAACGAUAGCUAAUACCGCAUAAUAUUAAUUAUUGCAUGAUAAUUAAUUGAAAGGUGCAAUUGCACCACUACCAGAUGGACCUGCGUUGUAUUAGCUAGUAGGUGAGGUAACGGCUCACCUAGGCGACGAUACAUAGCCGACCUGAGGGGGUGAUCGGCCACACUGGGACUGAGACAAGGCCCAGACUCCUACGGGAGGCAGCAGUAGGGAAUCUUCGGCAAUGGACGAAAGUCUGACCGAGCAACGCCGCGUGAGUGAAGAAGGUUUUCGGAUCGUAAAGCUCUGUUGUAAGAGAAGAACGGGUGUGAGAGUGGAAAGUUCACACUGUGACGGUAUCUUACCAGAAAGGGACGGCUAACUACGUG
RNAcentral lists this ribosomal RNA (505 nucleotides) under uncultured bacterium. Its description in RNAcentral is "partial 16S ribosomal RNA". It matches the Rfam family "Bacterial small subunit ribosomal RNA", at positions 28 to 507 of the family's 1533-position model. The record is from RNAcentral.